UCCCUGGUGGUCCAGUGGUUAGGGCUCUGCACUGUCAUUGCCGAGGGCCCGGGUUUGAUCCCAGGUUGGGGAA
Molecule: non-coding RNA, 73 nt
Organism: Globicephala melas (long-finned pilot whale)
Lineage: Eukaryota; Metazoa; Chordata; Mammalia; Artiodactyla; Delphinidae
Source: the annotation of a RefSeq genome assembly